This 429-nucleotide ribosomal RNA is filed under the name uncultured bacterium. Its description in RNAcentral is "bacterial SSU rRNA". It matches the Rfam family "Bacterial small subunit ribosomal RNA", at positions 355 to 776 of the family's 1533-position model. The record is from RNAcentral.
UGGGGAAUUUUGGACAAUGGGGGCAACCCUGAUCCAGCAAUGCCGCGUGAGUGAAGAAGGCCUUCGGGUUGUAAACCACUUUUGUCAGGGAAGAAACGGCUCUUACUAAUAUUAGGAGCUAAUGACGGUACCUGAAGAAUAAGCACCGGCUAACUACGUGCCAGCAGCCGCGGUAAUACGUAGGGUGCAAGCGUUAAUCGGAAUUACUGGGCGUAAAGCGUGCGCAGGCGGCUUUGCAAGACAGAUGUGAAAUCCCCGGGCUCAACCUGGGAACUGCAUUUGUGACUGCAAGGCUAGAGUACGGUAGAGGGGGAUGGAAUUCCGCGUGUAGCAGUGAAAUGCGUAGAUAUGCGGAGGAACACCGAUGGCGAAGGCAAUCCCCUGGACCUGUACUGACGCUCAUGCACGAAAGCGUGGGGAGCAAACAGG